CCUACGGGUGGCUGCAGUGAGGAAUAUUGGUCAAUGGGCGCGAGCCUGAACCAGCCAAGUAGCGUGAAGGAUGACUGCCCUACGGGUUGUAACCUUCUUUUAUAAAGGAAUAAAGUGAGGCACGUGUGCCUUUUUGUAUUUACUUUAUGAAUAAGGAUCGGCUAACUCCGUGCCAUCGACCGCGGUAAUACGGAGGAUCCGAGCGUUAUCCGGAUUUAUUGGGUUUAAAGGUAGCGUAGAUGGGUUGUUAAGUCAGUUUUGAAAGUUUGCGGCUCAACCAUAAAAUUGCAAUUGAUACUGGCAGCCUUGAGUACAGUUGAGGUAGGCGGAAUGCGUGGUGUAGCGGUGAAAUGCUUAGAUAUCACGAAGAACUCCGAUUGCGAAGGCAGCUUACUAAACUGCCACUGACAUUGAUGCUCGAAAGUGUGGGUAUCAAACAGGAUUAGAUACCCCUGUAGUC
This 460-nucleotide ribosomal RNA is filed under the name uncultured bacterium. Its description in RNAcentral is "partial 16S ribosomal RNA". It matches the Rfam family "Bacterial small subunit ribosomal RNA", at positions 338 to 795 of the family's 1533-position model. The record is from RNAcentral.